RNAcentral lists this transfer RNA (72 nucleotides) under Plasmodium gallinaceum. RNAcentral describes it as "tRNA Tryptophan". It matches the Rfam family "tRNA". From Rfam's summary of the family: Transfer RNA (tRNA) molecules are approximately 80 nucleotides in length. Their secondary structure includes four short double-helical elements and three loops (D, anti-codon, and T loops). Further hydrogen bonds mediate the characteristic L-shaped molecular structure. tRNAs have two regions of fundamental functional importance: the anti-codon, which is responsible for specific mRNA codon recognition, and the 3' end, to which the tRNAs corresponding amino acid is attached (by aminoacyl-tRNA synthetases). tRNAs cope with the degeneracy of the genetic code in two manners: having more than one tRNA (with a specific anti-codon) for a particular amino acid; and 'wobble' base-pairing, i.e. permitting non-standard base-pairing at the 3rd anti-codon position. Lineage: Eukaryota; Apicomplexa; Aconoidasida; Haemosporida; Plasmodiidae. The record is from RNAcentral.
AUGUCUUUAAUUUAAUGUUAAAAUAUAAAUCUCCAAAAUUUAUAAAUAAAGGUUCAAAUCCUUUAAGACAUG